ACGCCAAUACCUUCCAGUUAGAAGGUGGUCAUCGCAUUUUGCCUUCACCGGGAGAUAUUGGCGUCU
Molecule: microRNA precursor, 66 nt
Filed under: Pristionchus pacificus
Lineage: Eukaryota; Metazoa; Nematoda; Chromadorea; Rhabditida; Neodiplogasteridae
Description: microRNA ppc-mir-8283 precursor
Source: miRBase by way of RNAcentral